RNAcentral lists this ribosomal RNA (896 nucleotides) under Exorchis sp. NY2E. RNAcentral describes it as "partial large subunit ribosomal RNA". It matches the Rfam family "Eukaryotic large subunit ribosomal RNA", at positions 88 to 607 of the family's 3401-position model. Lineage: Eukaryota; Metazoa; Platyhelminthes; Trematoda; Opisthorchiida; Cryptogonimidae. The record is from RNAcentral.
CCAUAGCGAUGACAGGAAAGCCCAGCACCGAAGCCUGUGGCCAUUUGGCUACUAGGCAAUGUGGUGUUUAGGUCGUUCCUUGAGAGCGCUGCCUCACUCCAAGUCCAGCAAUGAGUACGGUAACAUUGACAUGGCCCAGAGAGGGUGAAAGGCCCGUGGGAGUGAGGUCGCAGAAAUGCCAGUGCUUUCCUGGAUAGACCUUGGAGUCGGGUUGUUUGUGAAUGCAGCCCAAAGUGGGUGGUAAACUCCAUCCAAGGCUAAAUACUAACACGAGUCCGAUAGCGAACAAGUACCGUGAGGGAAAGUUGAAAAGUACUUUGAAGAGAGAGUAAACAGUGCGUGAAACCGCUCAGAGGUAAACGGGUGGAGUUGAACUGUGAUCUCUGUGGAUUUAGCUGGUGAGUAUGGCUUGUGCUUGGGCAAAUUGGUUGAGUUCUGGAAUCUGCUUAGCCGCAGGUCCUUGCCUUCGGGUAGGGAUGCGCGAUGCACUUAUCAGGUGCUGCGCGUUCUGGUUAAUUCGUGCUUGCUCGCCAGUGCACUUUCGCAGAGUGUUCACCACGACCGGCAUUGUUGUCUGGCUGUUGUGGUUAAACCGGCUUUACUUUGUCCUAUGGGCUUUGAAUUGUCGGGAUGGCAGGUAGCUCAAUUGCCUUGCUCCGCUUGGCUCUCGGGUGUUACUAGCUGACCGCAUCGGUUCUGUGCAGUAUGUCGGAGACGGCGGCUUGUGGUACAUGCGCGCGUGAUCGUUGGUUGGCGUGCUCGGGUUGGGUUGCUACGUUGCUCGUAUCUGACGGGCCUAGGAACAGCUCGGGUAUGUUCAGCUGGCAGUUGUGUGUGUAGUGCUUUCCAGGGCCAACAGUCUGUGGUGUGCGGUAGACGACCACUGACCGCUGACG